This 497-nucleotide ribosomal RNA is filed under the name uncultured bacterium. Its description in RNAcentral is "partial 16S ribosomal RNA". It matches the Rfam family "Bacterial small subunit ribosomal RNA", at positions 28 to 507 of the family's 1533-position model. The record is from RNAcentral.
GAUGAACGCUGGCGGCGUGCCUAAUACAUGCAAGUCGAGCGAACGGACGAUUAUCUUUCUUCUCUGAUGUUUUCGGCUGUCGUGUGUGUAACACGUGGAUAACCUCCCUAUUUUUCUUGUAUCACUUCGUGAAACCUUUUCUAAUACCGUCUAAUUUUUUGUACCGCUUGGUUCACUAGUGUUUUACGGUCUUUCUGUCUCUUAUAGAUUGAUCCGCGCUUCAUUAGCUAGUUGGUAAGGUAACGGCUUACCAAGGCAACGAUGCAUAGCCGACCUGACAGGGGGAUCGGCCACACUGGAACUGAGACACGGACCAGACUCCUACGGGAGGAAGCAGUAGGGAAUAUUCGGCAAUGGGCGAAAGCAUGACGGAGCAAAGCCGCGUGAGUGAAGAAGGACUUCGGAUCGUAAAACUCUGUUAUUAGGGAAGAAAAUAUGGGUAAGAAAAUGUGCACAGAGUGACGGUAACUAAAAAGAAAGCAACGGCUAACUACGUG